Molecule: transfer RNA, 71 nt
Filed under: Loxodonta africana (African savanna elephant)
Lineage: Eukaryota; Metazoa; Chordata; Mammalia; Proboscidea; Elephantidae
Rfam family: tRNA
About the family: Transfer RNA (tRNA) molecules are approximately 80 nucleotides in length.
Source: Rfam by way of RNAcentral
CCCUGGGUGGUGAAAUGGUUAAUAUGCUCAGUUGUUAACUGAAAGGUUGGAGGUUCAAGCCCACUCAGGGG